CGUUGUAUUUUGUGGGGGGUUUAUGUGUUGAUUUUUUUUCUAUUAAACUCGACUUUUAUUCUUUCUUUUAUUGUAUUUGUAUGCAGCACUUGAGUAACAAACUGUAAGUGAAAAUAAAACUAAUAAAUAAAUAAAAAUGUGAGAACCUGACAGAGUGGAGUGAGGGUUCAUGGGUACUCUUCUUGCAUUCUAAUGCGCAUGCGCAGUCCGGAGAGUCUCAUCUAUCACAGAUGACAGUUAACGCUCGAUACCAAGUUUAAACCAACGAGUCUCCUUUUUCAUGCUUUUAUUCAGUUACAAACAGCGCACAGAGCUAAUAUUACCCCUUUAACGCCCCAUGUACACAAUAAUCAGGUUUUGAAGGAGACAGGAAGACGUUUCUGAAGAAAGCGAGUAACCAGGAAGUGCGGAAGCGACGCUGUCGCCGCCUCACUGAUUAUGAGACCGUGUUGUUCUUCACUGGGGAACGCCGCCGGGAUUUCAGCCGUUCUCGUCGUAGGGAUUGCCCUCAUUUUUAAUUAUUUCGACGACGACACCGUUCCUGUGAAAUAUAGCAGUAUGUCUGAGGACAUCAAAGCCCAGGAGGAACAGUUCAGGCUUCAGAACCAAAGCUGCUUCAUCCUCGGUGCUUCUGGUGAGACCGGGAAGGUGUUGCUGGAGGAGCUUCUCCAGAGAAACCUCUUCUCCAGGAUCACGCUGAUCGGACGCAGAAAGCUGACCUUUGAGGGCGAAGCCUACAAGAACCUGGUUCAAGAAGUGGUUGACUUUGAGAAGCUGGAUGAACAUGCCGCCGCCUUCCAAGGCCACCAUGUAGGCUACUGUUGUCUGGGAACAACCAGAGCCAAAGCUGGAGCGGAUGGGUUUGUACGAGUCGAUCACGACUAUGUCCUUAAAUCAGCGGAGCUCGCCAAAGCAGGAGGCUGUCAGCAGUUUCACCUGGAGUCCUCCAGAGGAGCCGACAAGGACAGCAGCUUCCUUUACCUCAAAGUCAAGGGCCAAGUGGAGGCAGAGAUCGAGGCUCUGGAUUUCGAUCGAUUCUCCAUUUACAGGCCAGGGGUUCUGCUGGUCGACAGGCAGGAGAGUCGGCCCGGUGAAUGGUUAGCCCGCAAGUUCUUCGGCGCCGUCAGCGCCGUGUGCACUUCAUCCAUGUCUGUUCCCAUUCAAGCGGUGGCAAAGGCCAUGGUGUCCAACACUCUGCUUCAGCCCGAGAAGAAGACGGAGAUCCUGGAGAACAAAGCCAUCGCUGCUCUGGGGAAGAGAGCACAGAAAUGAGAAAGCUGCUGCCCUGAAGUGAGAAAAUGUGGUCCAAACCCAGCAGCCAUGAGUGUCAGGUGCUGCAAACUCAUCAGAUCACACUAAAGGAAUCAAAAGGACUUUCAAGUGUUUUUAUAAAAACUUCCCUCAGGGAUUUUCCAGAUUCUGCUUUAUUUGCACCUGAAAUGUUUAUUUUUUUUUUAUUUUAAUGAAAUAUCUGCCUUAAGGGGAAUCUUUUUUGUGGUUUCUAAUCUUUGGUUACUUUACUCAUAAACUAUUAAAGUUUGUUUUAUUCACCAGUACAGCCUACCAUGUCAGACUCAUCUUAAUGAGCAGUAACACCUAUCUGUCUAUAUUUGUCACUUACAGCCAAACACAGAAUGAAAAUAAGUUAAUUUUGUUGGUUGUUGUUGUUCACUGUAUUUAAGUAUGAGGUUUGAUGUAAAUAUUUCAUUUGUUCUCAUCAGCCUGUAAUAAAAGCUCAGGACAUUAAAUCCUGAAAAUAUCCAGA
Molecule: RNA transcript, 1765 nt
Organism: Oryzias melastigma (Indian medaka)
Lineage: Eukaryota; Metazoa; Chordata; Actinopteri; Beloniformes; Adrianichthyidae
Gene: htatip2
Gene name: HIV-1 Tat interactive protein 2
Exons: 7
Source: RefSeq, a predicted model, not a curated record